RNAcentral lists this long non-coding RNA (816 nucleotides) under Coturnix japonica (Japanese quail). Its description in RNAcentral is "lncRNA (ENSCJPG00005012410.1)". The record is from RNAcentral. Lineage: Eukaryota; Metazoa; Chordata; Aves; Galliformes; Phasianidae.
GUGGAGCCUGGAGCUAACGGACCCCUGCUUUGGGGAAAAACUAGAAGUGGACAGAAAAAAAGUCCUGUUCUCAUAUUAAAAAGGAAGGAGAGAAUCAGAUGAAACAGAGCUGAAUCUUUACUUCUUCCCACCCGGCUGCGAUGAGUGGACAGACAUUGCUGAACGGGACCAGUGAAUCCCAUUCUCCCCACCGAAACCCAUUUUGCAGUUUUCUGAGUCAAACUAGCGCUGUGUACAACACUGCGGUGACACUUGUUUGGGAUGUGGAUAAAGUACCAAACUUGUCUGUAAAGAACUCACAGAACAUAAAGGCUGACUGAGUAGUUUCAAAACAAACAAAAGGAACAGAGGAAGGUGAGUAGACUGAAGUUUGGGGGAAAGUAUUACUGCUUAUUUUUAAAUAGACACUCAAAGAGCAAGGAUGUAGGUGGAGGAAUUUGAUUAUCAAAUGUAGUUUUAAGUCUUGUUUCCCUCAGAAAUGAAGAAUCCAAGAUGAUUUUCUUUUUCCUGCUGCAGGAAGGGAUUUUAAAAUUAAAAAUCGUGCUACACUUUAUCCUAAGAUGUUGUCUUAAAUAUUUGAUGGCAGGUGCCCAACCCUACAGCUUACAUGACACAUCUGAUCUUCCCAGAUAACAAUACCGCCAUGCUCAUUUUUAUUUCAUAAAUCCUCUGUCAAAAAGGAGAGAAAAGAAAGAACCGUCUCUGAGUGAGUAUAAUUUGAAGGAAUAGGCAAAUUGUGACACUUGGGCAGCUGUUACCGUAUCUAAACAAAACACCAUUCCAAAGCUGCAGCUGUCUGUAGGAAAGAUGGAUACA